This 621-nucleotide ribosomal RNA is filed under the name metagenome. Its description in RNAcentral is "bacterial SSU rRNA". It matches the Rfam family "Archaeal small subunit ribosomal RNA", at positions 842 to 1467 of the family's 1478-position model. The record is from RNAcentral.
CGCAAGGCUGAAACUUAAAGGAAUUGGCGGGGGAGCACUGCAACGGGAGGAGCGUGCGGUUUAAUUGGAUUCAACGCCGGAAAACUCACCAAGGCCGACUGUUAGAUGAAGACCAGCGUAAUGAGCUUGUCGGAUUUUCAGAGAGGUGGUGCAUGGCCGUCGUCAGUUCGUACUGUAAAGCGUUCUGUUAAGUCAGAUAACGAACGAGACCCUCAUCUCUAUUUGCNACCUGUCUCUCCGGAANAGGCGCACUAUAGAGAGACCGCUGGUGUGAAACCAGAGGAAGGCGAGGGCAACGACAGGUCAGUAUGCCCCGAAUGUCUUGGGCUACACGCGCGCUACAAAGGACAGGACAAUGGGAAGCCAGGCCGAGAGGCCGAGCUAACCCGAAACCUGUUCGUAGUUCGGAUUGAGGGCUGUAACUCGCCCUCAUGAAGCUGGAUUCCGUAGUAAUCGUGUUUCAANAUAGCACGGUGAAUAUGCCCCUGCUCCUUGCACACACCGCCCGUCAAACCAUCUUAGUUGGGGGUGGGUGAGGCUGCGCUUUAUGGCGUAUUCGAGCCUGCCUUCGACAAGGAGGGUUAAGUCGUAACAAGGUAUCUGUAGGGGAACCUGCAGAUG